RNAcentral lists this non-coding RNA (26 nucleotides) under Homo sapiens (human). The record is from RNAcentral. Lineage: Eukaryota; Metazoa; Chordata; Mammalia; Primates; Hominidae.
UGCUGGGAGCCGCAGUCGUACUGACU